AAUUAGCGAGGGACGCUAAUUUAAGUAAACUCGGUCAUGUGGGGGAUUGUUUGUUUCUUUGUUUUUAUUUUGGUGGGUUUUUUUUCUGUAUUAAGAAUCUGGCUCAGUUACUCUCUAGUUCUGGUGUGUUUUCUUUUCCAGGUGGUUGGUAUUUCUGCAGUGUUUGGCACAGGACUGGGUGAGUUUUUUACCCAGCUUUCUAAAGCUGUAGAUGAAUAGGAGAGACUGAAUGCACUCCCUUUAUUCACCUUUUCAGAGAGUAUCGGCCAGAAUACGAGCGCCCGAGAAAAACACUGGACAGUUCUCUGCAGGCACAGCUACACAGAGUUUGGCUUCCCGGCGCUGCAGAAAACGUCCUAGAAUCCCACCUGACUGGAGGUUGCUUUCCAUGCUUAGUCAGAAGUUCUGUGUAACCUGAGUUGAAAUAAUCCACAUGUAAAUCUUUGUCUACGGGAGAAAGCUCAAAAUAAACAAAAGAGAGAGCAGCUGGAACACUUGUGGAAGGACAUGGGCAGCGUGUGUGUGCAGGGCAGCACACUGGCAGGUACCUCCCCAGGAAGAUAAAGUUUACUGCAGAAGUUUUCUGAAGAGUUUGCCUUGUGAAGUAGUACAGUGCUUCUUUGUCCUCACAGCAGAAAUGUGAAAGCAGCUCCAUGUUAGAGGAGCAGGGCUUUAGUUCCUGUGGGAUUGGUCACACUCAGCUCGUCCUGUGUCAGUCACAGGUUUGGAAGAAACCCCGCUGUGUAGCUAAAGCAGUGGACCUACUAGAAAUAAUGAAAUACUUUAGAAAAGGCGAAACAGUCAGAUCAGAAUAUGAGAAAGUUCUGCUGUUGGCUGCACUGUUCCUUAGAUGAGGCGAGUAGGUGCUGAUGGAGUCUGUCCUGUGUCUGGGAUCCACAAGCAGCUUUCUGUCCCCUUAGAGCAGGUGUUCAUUGCUGGGUUUCUGUGCAGAUAGAAACCUUACCUUUAGCAAGCUGCUGUGCUGUGUGUGCCUGCAGGUAAGAAAAGCUGGGAGUGCAGUCCCUCUGCUUUGAUUGCUGUGUCCCUUUGGUAGUGAUUUUGGAGGGGAAUCCCAGAGCCAUUUGGUUUGAAGGGGACCUUCAAAGGCCAGCCUGUCUUCCGUGGGCAGGGACACCUUCCCCUGUCAUCCCCGGUUGCUCCGAGUCCCGUCCAGCCUGGCCUGGAACACGUGCAGGGAUGGGGCAGGCUCAGCUUCCCUGUGCAGUGUGCUCUAAUAUCUCUCCACUGGCAUCCUGAAAAAUGUUGUCAGCGUGUUUUGUUGGCCGACGGUAAGCAGGACCUGGGUGAAAAGGACAUUCUCUGAGGUGCUGGGAGAAGGAGGACUCGUGCGGGCACCUCCAGAGACAGCGGGAACGGGAGCGUGCUGCGGAGAAGGAAAAUUCCAGGGGAAUUGCCACGAGAGGAAAUACUUCAGAGGGGCUUCCCUCCAGCUAAGCCCUGAAUAUGCCAGGAGGUUUCAGCCGGGAGGAAAGGAGCUGUGGAAGAAAAGCAGCCUAAAAAUAGCCAGCGGGGAUCAUCAGGUUUUCCAGCCAAGAAGAACAAGGAGAGAGAUGAGGGAAUCGGGUUCCAAUUCCUAAUGAUUUGGUGGGUGCAGGAAUGAUUUCUGUGUGUUUUCCAGUCCCUUUUGAUUCCUGAGAUGAUUUGAAAAUGAUGGCUUUAGCAAUCAACUAAAUCGGAGGUGUUGUUUUUGAGAGGAAAUGAUGCCAAAUAAAUGCAGAGUUUUGGGUCAGUUUUUGGGAUGAUUUGAGUCAGUUUUUGGGGUCAGUUUGGGGUCAUUGUUUGGGGUGAUUUGGGUCAGUUUUGGGUCAGCUUUUGGGGUGAUUGGGGUCAGUUUUGGGUCAGCUUUUGGGAUGAUUUGGGUCAGGUUUUGGGGUCAGUUUUGGGUCAGCUUUUGGGGUGAUUUGGGUCGGUUUGGGGUCAAUUUUUGGGGAGCACUGGGUGUUACUGGGGGUUGUUGGGGAGCACUGGGUGUUUACUGGGGAGCACUGGG
This is a long non-coding RNA of Pseudopipra pipra, 2011 nucleotides long. RefSeq lists it as uncharacterized. NCBI's taxonomy places the organism in Eukaryota, Metazoa, Chordata, Aves, Passeriformes, Pipridae. The record is from RefSeq and is a predicted model, not a curated record. The transcript is spliced from 5 exons.